AAGCACCGACUCUCCUCUCUCUUUCUCUCGCUCUCUCUCGACCCGCUGCAACUCUCCUCUCUCCCUCUCCCUCCUUCCCUCCCUCCCUCCCUCUCGAUCGACCCACAAUCUCUUUUUUCUCGACCCUCUCUAUUCGUGUUCUCUGCCAACCCCCUCUGUACCUCUUCUGUUAGUAUUCAUUCUCUAACCCUCUCUCCCUCUCUCUCGUUUAAGGACCCUAUCCGUCUAGACGGGCCCCUCCAAUGGUAUGCCUCGGAGAACCUCGUUGAAGGCCUGCCUGCAAAAGUUGGCAUCCUAGAUAUUUCGAGCAUCUUUACAACACAAGAAAAACUGGGCUACAUGUCUAAAUCGCUAGAUAUCCUAGCCUGUGAGUAGAGAUGGGAUCUGGAAAAUCAACAGCAUCUCCGUCAUUGAUGUAUGUGGCUCCAUCUCAAGAUGUCGUUGCUAAUGUAUCGAUUUUCAGGAUGAGGUGGUGUCGGAAAAUAAGGCGGUUGGUGGGAUUCUCAAGGAAAAGGCAAAAUUGUGUCUUUUCAAUUUGAUGAAAGCUAUGAAUGCUCUAAAAUGCUGGCAUCCAAUGCACGUGGAAUGUAUUCAUGUGAUGGCAAAGCAUGGGCGGUACACGCCUUGAUUUUCCUCUUUUUUCCCAUUAUUUUGUUCCUAUAGCACUUGGGGCAAAGAGCUUAGUACAAAUUUCUUAACUUGUGUUUUUCCCAACAGAUAUUCAUGUCCAGUAUGCCAAGUCCAAGUAUUAGAAGAGAAUAGAUGAUGAGGUAAGUACCUAGUACUUAGAAACCGGGCACCCCUUCAUAAGACCUAUGGUUAUUUAAGGAUACAAAGAAAAUUCUUAAAUUAAAA
This is a long non-coding RNA of Magnolia sinica, 855 nucleotides long. RefSeq lists it as uncharacterized. The record is from RefSeq and is a predicted model, not a curated record. Lineage: Eukaryota; Viridiplantae; Streptophyta; Magnoliopsida; Magnoliales; Magnoliaceae. The transcript is spliced from 3 exons.